RNAcentral lists this ribosomal RNA (494 nucleotides) under uncultured bacterium. RNAcentral's name for it is "partial 16S ribosomal RNA". It matches the Rfam family "Bacterial small subunit ribosomal RNA", at positions 28 to 507 of the family's 1533-position model. The record is from RNAcentral.
GACGAACGCUGGCGGCGCGCUUAACACAUGCAAGUCGAACGGAAAGGCCUGCUUUCCCUUGUGGAUUGCGGGUACUCGAGUGGCGAACGGGUGAGUAACACGUGAGUGAUCUGCCCCCAACUUGGGUAUAAGCCUGGGAAACUGGGUCUAAUGCCCGAUAGGACUGCAGGGUGGUGCCUGUGGUGGAAAACGAUUUUCUAGUGGUUGGGGAUGAGCUCGCGGCCUAUCAGCUUGUUGGUGGGGUAAUGGCCUACCAAGGCGGCGACGGGUAGCCGGCCUGGGAGGGUGGGCGGGCACAUGGGGACUGAGAUACGGCCAAGACGCCUACGGGAGGAAGCAGUGGGGAAUAUUGCGCAAGGGGCGGAAGCCUGAUGCAGCGACGCCGAGUGAGGGAUGACGGCCUUCGGGUGGUAAACUCCUUUCGACCGCGAGGAAGCCACCUGGUUGGAAGGGUGGUGACGGUAGUGGUAGAAGAAGCACCGGCUAACUACGUG